CAGCAGCCACGGUAAUACGUAGGGUGCAAGCGUUAAUCGGAAUUACUGGGCGUAAAGCGUGCGCAGGCGGUUCUAUAAGACAGAUGUGAAAUCCCCGGGCUCAACCUGGGAACUGCAUUUGUGACUGUAGAGCUCGAGUACGGCAGAGGGGGAUGGAAUUCCGCGUGUAGCAGUGAAAUGCGUAGAUAUGCGGAGGAACACCGAUGGCGAAGGCAAUCCCCUGGGCCUGUACUGACGCUCAUGCACGAAAGCGUGGGGAGCAAACAGGAUUAGAUACCCCGGUAGUCCCUGUCUCUUAUAC
RNAcentral lists this ribosomal RNA (301 nucleotides) under uncultured bacterium. RNAcentral describes it as "partial 16S ribosomal RNA". It matches the Rfam family "Bacterial small subunit ribosomal RNA", at positions 509 to 807 of the family's 1533-position model. The record is from RNAcentral.